AUUUCAGGGUGCUUGCAUGGAGAGAGAGGGAGAGAGCAUGGGCAAAUGAUUGAGAUUGCCCCAAUGUGAAAAACACUUUGAAAAUGCUGAUGAUUGACCUCUCAUUGAGGAGAGAGGGAAGAAGGACGAACGAAAAUGAGGUUUUCUCUGAUGGCAAGUCAAUUUAAGAGAACCCUCUGAUCAAUGAGUGUGCUUGGUUAAGAAUUUUCAUGUUUCUAAAAUGGGCCGGAGAACUGUCUUUUUCUUAAGCAAAC
RNAcentral lists this long non-coding RNA (254 nucleotides) under Callithrix jacchus (white-tufted-ear marmoset). RNAcentral describes it as "lncRNA (ENSCJAG00000063890.2)". Lineage: Eukaryota; Metazoa; Chordata; Mammalia; Primates; Cebidae. The record is from RNAcentral.